RNAcentral lists this ribosomal RNA (315 nucleotides) under uncultured eukaryote. RNAcentral describes it as "partial 18S ribosomal RNA". It matches the Rfam family "Eukaryotic small subunit ribosomal RNA", at positions 1470 to 1796 of the family's 1831-position model. The record is from RNAcentral.
CCCUUAGAUGUCCUGGGCCGCACGCGCGCUACACUGAGUGUCUGAGAUACGAGUCUGCCUGGUCCGGCAAGGUCUAGGUAAUCGCUAAAAGACACAUCAUGCUUGGGAUAGAUUAUUGCAAAUAUUAAUCUUGAACGAGGAGUUCCUAGUAAGCGCAAGUCAACAGCUUGCGUUGAUUACGUCCCUGCCCUUUGUACACACCGCCCGUCGCUCCUACCGAUGAAUCGUCCGGUGAAGUUCAUGGAGGGGCGGUUGUUUCAACUGCCGUUGAAGUGAAAUGGACCUCACGAUUUAGAGGAAGGAGAAGUCGUAACA